CCUACGGGAGGCAGCAGGAGGGAAUAUUGCUCAAUGGGGGAAACCCUGAAGCAGCAACGCCGCGUGGAGGAUGAAGGUUUUCGGAUUGUAAACUCCUUUUGUUAGAGAAGAUAAUGACGGUAUCUAACGAAUAAGCACCGGCUAACUCCGUGCCAGCAGCCGCGGUAAUACGGAGGGUGCAAGCGUUACUAGGAAUCACUGGGCGGAAAGAGCGCGUAGGCGGGGUAGCAAGUCAGAUGUGAAAUCCUAUGGCUUAACCAUAGAACUGCAUUUGAAACUGUUAUUCUAGAGUAUGGGAGAGGUAGGUGGAAUUCUUGGUGUAGGGGUAAAAUCCGUAGAGAUCAAGAGGAAUACUCAUUGCGAAGGCGACCUGCUAGAACAUAACUGACGCUGAUGCGCGAAAGCGUGGGGAGCAAACAGGAUUAGAUACCCGAGUAGUC
RNAcentral lists this ribosomal RNA (440 nucleotides) under uncultured bacterium. RNAcentral's name for it is "partial 16S ribosomal RNA". It matches the Rfam family "Bacterial small subunit ribosomal RNA", at positions 338 to 795 of the family's 1533-position model. The record is from RNAcentral.